GGCCCCAUCGUCUAGUGGUUAGGACAUCUGGUUUUCAUCCAGAAAACAGGGGUUCGAUUCCCCUUGGGGCUACGA
The sequence is a transfer RNA, 75 nucleotides long. It matches the Rfam family "tRNA". Rfam says of the family: Transfer RNA (tRNA) molecules are approximately 80 nucleotides in length. Their secondary structure includes four short double-helical elements and three loops (D, anti-codon, and T loops).